RNAcentral lists this ribosomal RNA (300 nucleotides) under uncultured Nocardioidaceae bacterium. RNAcentral's name for it is "bacterial SSU rRNA". It matches the Rfam family "Bacterial small subunit ribosomal RNA", at positions 114 to 414 of the family's 1533-position model. The record is from RNAcentral. Lineage: Bacteria; Bacillati; Actinomycetota; Actinomycetes; Propionibacteriales; Nocardioidaceae.
CACGUGAGCAAUCUGCCCUUCACAUUGGAAUAACUUCCGGAAACGGAAGCUAAUACCGAAUACGACCACCGACGGCAUCCUCUGGUGGUGGAAAGUUCCGGCGGUGAAGGAUGAGCUCGCGGCCUAUCAGCUUGUUGGUGGGGUAACGGCCUACCAAGGCGACGACGGGUAGCCGGCCUGAGAGGGUGACCGGCCACACUGGGACUGAGACACGGCCCAGACUCCUACGGGAGGCAGCAGUGGGGAAUAUUGGACAAUGGGCGAAAGCCUGAUCCAGCAACGCCGCGUGAGGGAUGACGG